This 486-nucleotide ribosomal RNA is filed under the name uncultured bacterium. RNAcentral's name for it is "partial 16S ribosomal RNA". It matches the Rfam family "Bacterial small subunit ribosomal RNA", at positions 29 to 507 of the family's 1533-position model. The record is from RNAcentral.
AUUGAACGCUGGCGGCAUGCUUUACACAUGCAAGUCGAGCGGCAGCGCGGGGGCAACCCUGGCGGCGAGCGGCGAACGGGUGAGUAAUGCAUCGGAACGUAUCCUCGAGUGGGGGAUAACCCAGCGAAAGUUGGGCUAAUACUGCAUGAGCUCUGAGGAGGAAAGCGGGGGACCUGCGAGGGCCUCGCGCUGGAGGAGCGGCCGAUGUCCGAUUAGCUAGUUGGUGGGGUAAAGGCUUACCAAGGCGACGAUCGGUAGCUGGUCUGAGAGGAUGAUCAGCCACACUGGGACUGAGACACGGCCCAGACUCCUACGGGAGGCAGCAGUGGGGAAUUUUGGACAAUGGGGGCAACCCUGAUCCAGCCAUGCCGCGUGAGUGAAGAAGGCCUUCGGGUUGUAAAGCUCUUUCGGACGGAACGAAAUGGGCGGGACUAAUACUCCUGUCUGAUGACGGUACCGUAAGAAGAAGCACCGGCUAACUACGUG